Molecule: long non-coding RNA, 795 nt
Organism: Astyanax mexicanus (Mexican tetra)
Lineage: Eukaryota; Metazoa; Chordata; Actinopteri; Characiformes; Acestrorhamphidae
Exons: 2
Source: RefSeq, a predicted model, not a curated record
CUCUGAAUUAAACACUUUAAUUUUUCAGUAUAUCAUUUUCACUUAUUUUAUUUUAAUGUAAAAAAAUUCAAAAGCAAAAAUUCAAGUUUUAAAAAUUCAAUUAAAAUAAAUUCAGGUUGCUCAAAUUCGACCUGUCAAAUUCGACUGCUAAAAUACAACGCUCAAAAUUCGCUGUCAACAUCCGGGACACACAGGAUGAGCAAUCGAUUCAGUCUUCAAUCGAGCCAACAACCAGCCAAUCACAUCACGCUCCGAAGAUCACGUGACAGGUAGCGCCUCACGGCUCAGAGCCGCUCAACGCGAGUCACAGCCCCCUCCGCUGCUCCUCUCGAGUAGGUUGAAAAGAAGAUGGAGAAGUUUCAGCUUGCAGCUAUGGAGAGUUCACCACGAAAAGAACGAAGUCAAAGAAUACAAAGAUCUGUCCAUAUUCUGAAGUCACCACUUGAAGAUUUUAUGCAGAAUUAUUUGGAUUAUGAAUAGGAACCACAUUAUUUGCAACAGCUUUUAUUAUUUAUACAAACAAGAUGAACAUGAUAUGAUGUGCCAGAAUAUAGGGAGGCUGCCUAAAACAUACAAAAAAAAAAAAAAAAUACAGAACACAUGUAAACAACUAAAGAAAAACAGAACAUGGCACAUGUAAAUAAAUCAAAUAAACACAGCACAGACUGCAUGAAAUUGGAUUUCUUUAUUUGUUCUUUAAAAGUUUGGAGAAAGGAAACCUGUGUAAUACAAAAGAAACUUGAAAAAUUACUGCAUUUGAUACAUGGAUAUAAUUAAACAUUUUAAGAACAUUAA